UACGGAGGGUGCAAGCGUUAUUCGGAAUUACUGGGCGUAAAGGGCGCGUAGGCGGUCAGGUAAGUCAGGUGUGAAAGCCCUCGGCUCAACCGAGGAAGUGCACUUGAAACUAUCUGACUAGAGUACGGGAGAGGAAAGUGGAAUUCCCGGUGUAGAGGUGAAAUUCGUAGAUAUCGGGAGGAACACCUAUGGCGAAGGCGGCUUUCUGGACCGAUACUGACGCUGAGGCGCGAAAGCGUGGGGAGCAAACAGGAUUAGAUACCCUGGUAGUCCACGCUGUAAACGAUGGGCACUAGGUGUGGGAGGUAUCAAUACCUUCCGUGCCGCAGCUAACGCAUUAAGUGCCCCGCCUGGGGAGUACGACCGCAAGGUUA
This 374-nucleotide ribosomal RNA is filed under the name uncultured bacterium. RNAcentral's name for it is "bacterial SSU rRNA". It matches the Rfam family "Bacterial small subunit ribosomal RNA", at positions 524 to 896 of the family's 1533-position model. The record is from RNAcentral.